GACGAACGCUGGCGGCGUGCUUAACACAUGCAAGUCGAACGGAAAGGCCCUGCUUUUGUGGGGUGCUCGAGUGGCGAACGGGUGAGUAACACGUGAGUAACCUGCCCUUGACUUUGGGAUAACUUCAGGAAACUGGGGCUAAUACCGGAUAGGAGCUCCUGCUGCAUGGUGGGGGUUGGAAAGUUUCGGCGGUUGGGGAUGGACUCGCGGCUUAUCAGCUUGUUGGUGGGGUAGUGGCUUACCAAGGCUUUGACGGGUAGCCGGCCUGAGUGGGUGACCGGCCACAUUGGGACUGGGAUGCGGCCCAGACUCCUACGGGAGGCAGCAGUGGGGAAUAUUGCACAAUGGGCGGAAGCCUGAUGCAGCAACGCCGCGUGCGGGAUGACGGCCUUCGGGUUGUAAACCGCUUUCGCCUGUGACGAAGCGUGAGUGACGGUAAUGGGUAAAGAAGCACCGGCUAACUACGUG
Molecule: ribosomal RNA, 468 nt
Filed under: uncultured bacterium
Lineage: Bacteria
Description: partial 16S ribosomal RNA
Rfam family: Bacterial small subunit ribosomal RNA
Source: RNAcentral